This is an RNA transcript of Tripterygium wilfordii, 1693 nucleotides long. It is a transcript of the gene named acetyl-CoA acetyltransferase, cytosolic 1-like, with no coding region annotated. NCBI's taxonomy places the organism in Eukaryota, Viridiplantae, Streptophyta, Magnoliopsida, Celastrales, Celastraceae. The record is from RefSeq and is a predicted model, not a curated record. The transcript is spliced from 16 exons.
ACAGUCGUCCUUGCCGGUUGAGCAGUUCGGGCUCCCUCUCGCUCUAUAUAAUUUUACUCCAUCACUGCAAACCUUUCAGCUCACAUUCUUAGACUCUCUCUCCCUCUGAAACUCAAGAAUUCUUGCUCCUACAGUGCCUCAACAGAGAGAGACUGCAGAUUCCUAUUCGCAAUAAAAGUCCAUGGCUCCAGUGGCAGCUUCAGAUUCAAUAAAUCCUAGAGAUGUCUGCAUUGUUGGCGCUGCUCGUACGCCUAUGGGUGGAUUUCUUGGCACACUUUCAUCUCUCUCUGCCACCAAGCUUGGAUCCAUAGCUAUUGGAGCUGCUCUUAAGAGGGCAAAUGUUGACCCAUCACUUGUACAAGAAGUAAUCUUUGGUAAUGUGUUGAGCGCUAAUUUGGGGCAGGCUCCUGCAAGACAAGCUGCAUUAGGUGCUGGAAUUCCUAAUUCUGUUAUCUGUACCACUGUUAACAAAGUCUGUGCAUCAGGGAUGAAAGCGACAACGCUCGCAGCACAGAGUAUCCAAUUGGGUAUCAAUGAUGUUGUUGUGGCUGGUGGCAUGGAGAACAUGUCUAAUGUGCCGAAAUAUCUGGCUGAAGCAAGGAAGGGAUCUAGACUUGGACAUGAUUCACUAGUUGAUGGAAUGCUGAAAGAUGGGUUGUGGGAUGUUUAUAAUGACUGUGGCAUGGGAAAUUGUGCUGAAAUUUGUGCUGAUAAUCAUUCUAUUACAAGGGAGGACCAGGAUGACUAUGCAGUAAAGAGCUUUGAGCGUGGCAUUGCUGCCCAAGAUAGUGGUGCCUUUUCUUGGGAAAUUGUUCCGGUUGAGGUUUCUGGAGGAAGGGGUAGACCAUCGACAAUAGUUGAUAAGGAUGAAGGAUUAGGGAAGUUCGAUCCUGCAAAAUUGAGAAAGCUCCGACCAAGUUUCAAGGAGACUGGAGGCACAGUUACCGCAGGAAAUGCAUCCAGCAUAAGUGAUGGUGCUGCUGCAUUAGUGCUUGUGAGUGGAGAGACUGCACUCAAGCUUGGGCUCCAUGUUAUUGCAAAGAUUACGGGAUAUGCUGAUGCUGCUCAUGCACCAGAGUUAUUUACUACGGCACCAGCCCUUGCAAUACCAAAAGCUAUCUCAAAUGCUGGCUUGGAUGCUUCUCAAGUUGAUUAUUAUGAAAUUAAUGAAGCAUUUGCUGUUGUGGCUCUUGCAAAUCAGAAACUGCUUGGACUUAAUCCUGAAAAGGUUAAUGUACAUGGUGGAGCUGUAGCGUUGGGACAUCCGCUGGGUUGUAGUGGAGCUCGUAUCUUGGUCACACUGUUGGGGGUACUGAAGCAGAAAAAUGGAAAAUAUGGUGUUGGUGGUGUCUGCAACGGUGGAGGAGGGGCAUCUGCACUUGUUGUGGAGCUUGUUUAAGCCUUUUCAUGUCUGGUGAAAAGGAUCAUUUUUAGAUAUUGAAACUCCAUAGUCUCCAUUUCUGCAGAACUCGAACUUCUUGAUACACAUGCUGGGCGUGAUGAUCGGGACUUUUAGAAUGUCGUGCAUUUGCCCUCCAUUUAUUUUUAUUUUUUUGCCUUUUUGAUAGUACUCUCUCCACGAAUAAAGUAAAAAGUGUAUUUGUCUCGUUUUCAUAGUUUCAUUAGGAAUAAUUCCUCAUGUUUUACUCUCUUGGUAGCAAUUUAUUGGACAAGGUGGAAGAUAAGAAUCUUA